Molecule: ribosomal RNA, 576 nt
Filed under: uncultured bacterium
Lineage: Bacteria
Description: bacterial SSU rRNA
Rfam family: Bacterial small subunit ribosomal RNA
Source: RNAcentral
ACGGGUGAGUAAUACAUCGGAACGUAUCCUGGAGUGGGGGAUAGCCCGGCGAAAGCCGGAUUAAUACCGCAUACGCUCUGAGGAGGAAAGCGGGGGACCUUCGGGCCUCGCGCUCAAGGGGCGGCCGAUGGCGGAUUAGGUAGUUGGUGGGGUAAAGGCCUACCAAGCCGACGAUCCGUAGCUGGUCUGAGAGGACGACCAGCCACACUGGGACUGAGACACGGCCCAGACUCCCACGGGAGGCAGCAGUGGGGAAUUUUGGACAAUGGGGGCAACCCUGAUCCAGCAAUGCCGCGUGUGUGAAGAAGGCCUUCGGGUUGUAAAGCACUUUUGUCCGGAAAGAAAUCAUCGGGGCCAAUACCCCUGGUGGAUGACGGUACCGGAAGAAUAAGCACCGGCUAACUACGUGCCAGCAGCCGCGGUAAUACGUAGGGUGCGAGCGUUAAUCGGAAUUACUGGGCGUAAAGCGUGCGCAGGCGGUGCUGUAAGACCGAUGUGAAAUCCCCGGGCUUAACCUGGGAACUGCAUUGGUGACUGCAGCGCUGGAGUAUGGCAGAGGGGGGUGGAAUUCCACGU